AAGUCGUAACAAGGUUUCCGUAGGUGAACCUGCGGAAGGAUCAUUAAUAAUUUGCUGAACCUAGCGUUAGCGAGGUUCUGCGAUCACAUAUAUUUAAAACCCAACUCUUAAAUUGUAUAAUUAUGUAUUUUUUUUAAUAAAAAUUAAAGAUCACUUUCAACAACGGAUCUCUUGGCUCUC
RNAcentral lists this unclassified non-coding RNA (180 nucleotides) under fungal sp. RNAcentral's name for it is "partial internal transcribed spacer region". The stretch from base 1 to 46 matches the Rfam family "Eukaryotic small subunit ribosomal RNA", at positions 1786 to 1831 of the family's 1831-position model. Lineage: Eukaryota; Fungi. The record is from RNAcentral.